GUUCUCGGCUACGUGUUGUGGCUCAUCGUGUCUGUAUCUGCCUUCAAGCUUGUCCUAGCAGGAACAUUGCCUGGUGCACUGUUGUAGCAACGAUCACAGCAUGCAGACUCUAGCGAUGGUUUUGUGGACGACAUCAAUCCUUCUGGAGGUCAAGGGUCAAGAAGAUGAACUGUGGGAUCCUUGGCUAGACAACUGCGAGUCCAUGGUCCCCUAUAACCUGACUGAACCCUAGACCGACCCUAUGCCCUACAUAGUUACUCUUAACAGACCAUACAUCAACAGCGAUCAGGCGGUGUACGUCUAUAUAAAAGCACUACCUCCAUUCAGUUUCCAGGGUCUCAUGAUUCAGGCUCGGGACGACAAGACCGGUCAGGAUGUCGGGGAGUUCGACACAGACAACAGGAAGAUCAGCGUCAUUAAUUGCUUCGGCAGACCAGAUAGCACGGCCACGCACGCUGACAAUUCCCCCAAGACGGAGGUGACGGCCAGAUGGGCGCCCGAGGAUGACAAUGACGCUACCGUCACAUUUUAUGGGUCAGUACUGUAGCAGGAUCUGGUUGCUACUAUUUCUUCACGAAGCCCAGCUGCUGCAGCACCUGCCUCGCCACACUGUUGAUGUGACGAAAGCGGUCUGGGCCAAUGUCGACACCUCCACGCCAGCGAGUCACCACUACCAUCACGUUAGUAGCUCCCGUAGCCUGCAACAAACAAAAAAACAAUAUGAGAGUACAUUCUUAAUUAUUAGGCAUGCACACAAGUUUUCUAAUUCACGCCCUCCCACACAUAGCUAUAAAAAUUAUUGUAAUCUCAAGAUACUCUAGUCUAGCUGUGGACAUGUACUUUUGUUUAUGUUUAACGUUACGACCGAUGAGUUUCUGAAACUAAGAAAAUUUUAAUCCACAACAUUGUAUUAUGUUUUAUCGUAACAACACUCAUGUAUAAAAUGUUUGGGUCUGCCUACCUGCAGUAAAUGUAAUGACCGCCCCCCUACAAACGUUCUCCCGGUCAUUAGAGCAGUGCUGGGCUGUGCGGACGGUACAUCAUGCUGGAGCACUCAGUAUGCAUAGAUAUUGUGUGGCGCUUUGCCAAUCUAUUGCCUGAUAUAAAAUGUUUCAGUAUGCCUACUUGCAGUAAAUGUAACAACCGCCCCCCCCCUCAGCAGCGAUCUCCCCGUCAUCAUCACAGUGCUGAGCAGUGCGGCCACCCACACCGUCCUUAAGCACACGUUAUGCGCAGAGAUCGUAUGUUGUUUUGUCAAUCUACUGUCUAAUGUAAAUUUUUUUAGUAUGCCUACUUGCAGUAAAUGUAACAACCGCCCCCCAGCAGUGACUCCGCGUCAUAUUUUCAGUGUUUGCCGAGCGUCAUGGCACACCGUCGUGAAGCAUUCGUUAUGCAUUAAUAGAUAUUGCGUGUUGCUAUGCCAAUCUACUGUCUGAUACAAAAUGUUUGAGUCUGCCUACCUGCAGUAAAUAUAACAACCACCCCCCCCCCUCAGCAGCGUUCUCCCCGUCAUCAUCACGGAGUUGUUUGAGGUCCGGCACACCUUCCUAGAGCAUUCCGUAUGAGUAGAUAUUGUGUGUUGCGUUGCCAAUCUACUGUCUGAUAUAAAAUGUUUAUGUCUUCCUACCUUUAGUAAAUGAAAAACGGGCUCCCAGCAGCGUUCUGCCCGUCAUAUUUUGCUGAGCCUGAAACACCGUUUCUUGGUCUACUGGACGAAAGUUUAGCCUGAUCAACUAAACAAGGUUAUAUUUGCGUAGUGACGCGCCAACGCAAAAUUCGUCAAUCACCAAUGAAACGGUGUGUGUCAGCCCCGACCUUGAAAAGAUAGAUAACUUGGUAGUUGUUAUAUGUUACAAUGAAGUAGGAUACCAGAUGACGAAAUCUGAAGUACAAGGUUCGUCCACCAAGCGCUGGGAGUGACGAGUCAUGAACGGAACGUUGAGCUUAGGAGUUCCUGGUCUGUUUAGCGGAGUGCAGAGUUUAAGACAGAUGACCGACCCUCUUCAGCUUCGUGGGAGGUUUUCCGUGAUUUUUACAUAUUUUUGAAGAGACUGUACGUAAGGCAAACUGCACGCGCCAGGACAUUGAGCGGCACAGACUGUACGCGGGGUCUACUGGGAGCUUCGCUGACUGUGAGGAGUACGCGCACUUAACUUCCUUGCGUCACGACUUGACUGGUUGUGGAGUCACGGGCCUGAGAAGUGACUGCGACACGAUAAGUCAAACAUUUUUAAUUCUUGUAUGGCCAUACUCAAAUAUUUAACUUGUGUACACGUUAAUUGAAAGCAGCUGUGGACUUUGUGGACAGUUGCAGGACUCGCUCGCCAGUGAGUGUCUUCACACCAGCAAAGGAUUUUUGCCUUCGUAUUUUAGUUUAGUAUUCGUAUUAAAUAACACUCUCACGAAUGUUCUCUAUCAAACAUAAAACUAACAUGUAUUUACUAUACUACUAACAACCAUUAUUCCCAGUAUAAUAUCCAGACCCUCAAAUCAACGUUUAUUAACUAAACUACUUUCAACCAGUACUCAAAGUAUAAUAUCCAGACUCUGAAAACCAGAUUCUCUGUUAUGCUACUGAAAUGAUCUGCAAAUUCUGCUUACUAAUGAACAUUAGCUUUGUUUAGACUGUCUCGUAAUCUGUAAGAAUUGCAAUAAUUUAUAUAUUUGUCUGUGAACUAUAUUAUAAAUAAU
RNA transcript from Homalodisca vitripennis (glassy-winged sharpshooter), 2691 nucleotides. It is a transcript of the gene named putative ferric-chelate reductase 1 homolog, with no coding region annotated. The transcript is spliced from 5 exons. NCBI's taxonomy places the organism in Eukaryota, Metazoa, Arthropoda, Insecta, Hemiptera, Cicadellidae. The record is from RefSeq and is a predicted model, not a curated record.